UGGUCAAGUUAUUAAGGGCGCAGGGCGGAUGCCUUGGCACUAAGAGCCGAUGAAGGACGCGAUAAGCUGCGAUAAGCUUCGGGGAGUUGCACGUAAACUUUGAUCCGAAGAUUUCCGAAUGAGGAAACUCACUUAGAGUAAUGUCUAAGUAUCAUUAAGUGAAUACAUAGCUUAAUGAGGGGAACCCGGGGAACUGAAACAUCUAAGUACCCGGAGGAAAAGAAAGAAAUUCGAUUCCGUAAGUAGCGGCGAGCGAACGCGGAAUAGCCCAAACCAGUGAAGUUUUCUUUGCUGGGGUUGCGGACACAUCAUCAACGAAGAGGUAUCGUAAACGAAGAGAGUUGGAAAGCUCCGCUAUAAAGUGUAAUAGCCACGUAGUUGAAACGAAACAAUAUCUAGUGUGAUCCAGAGUACCACGGGACACGUGAAACCCUGUGGGAAGCAGGAGGGACCAUCCUCCAAGGCUAAAUACUACUUAGUGACCGAUAGCGCAUAGUACCGUGAGGGAAAGGUGAAAAGAACCCCGGGAGGGGAGUGAAAUAGAACCUGAAACCCUGUGCUUACAAGCUGUGGGAGCACUUUAUAUGUGUGACCGCGUACUUUUUGUAGAACGGGCCAACGAGUUACGACAGUAAGCAAGGUUAAGUACUUAAGGUAUGGAGCCGUAGUGAAAGCGAGUCUUAAAUGGGCGUUAAGUUUUCUGUCGUAGACCCGAAACCGGGCGACCUACCCAUGAGCAGGAUGAAGCGAAAGUAAAAUUUCGUGGAGGUCCGAACCCACGAGCGUUGAAAAGCUCGGGGAUGACUUGUGGGUAGCGGUGAAAUUCCAAUCGAGCCCGGAGAUAGCUGGUUCUCCCCGAAAUAGCUUUAGGGCUAGCCUCAAGGUUGAGAAAUACGGAGGUAGAGCACUGAAUAUCCUAGGGGGCAUUGCGCUUACCGAAGAUUAUCAAACUCCGAAUGCCGUUAUUUUAUACUUGGGAGUCAGACUGUGGGUAAUAAGAUUCAUAGUCGAGAGGGCAACAGCCCAGAUCGUCAGCUAAGGUCCCUAAAUGUAAGUUAAGUGGUAAAGGAUGUGGGAUUGCAUAGACAACCAGGAUGUUGGCUUAGAAGCAGCCACUCAUUUAAAGAGUGCGUAAUAGCUCACUGGUCGAGUGAUCCUGCGCCGAAGAUUACCGGGGCUAAAACUUACUACCGAAGCUACGAUAUCAUUUAUGAUAGGUAGGGGAGCUUCCUAUGCAGGCUGAAGCAUGACCGUAAGGACAUGUGGACAGUAUAGGAGUGAGAAUGUUGGCAUGAGUAGCGAGACGUGGGUGAGAAUCCCACGGGCCGUAAACCCAAGGUUUCCAGGGGAAGGUUCGUCCGCCCUGGGUUAGUCGGGACCUAAGCCGAGGCCGAAAGGCGUAGGUGAUGGACAACAGGUUGAGAUUCCUGUACCACCGAUAAUCGCUUGAGAGAAGGAAUGACACAGUAGGAUAAGCUAACCACACUGUUGGUUAUGUGUGGCUAAGUACUGAGGCAGUCAAGGUAGGCAAAUCCGCCUUGAUAAUGCUGGGGUACGAUGGGGAGCGAAAUUAAGUAGCGAAGUAGCUGAUUUCACACUGUCGAGAAAAGUUUCUAUCGAGAUUAAAGGUGCCCGUACCGCAAACCGACACAGGUGGGUGAGGAGAGUAUCCUAAGGCCAGCGAGAGAACUGUUGUUAAGGAACUCGGCAAAAUGACCCCGUAACUUAGGGAGAAGGGGUGCCACGUUAGGGUUAACGCCCGAGGUGGCCGCAGAGAAUAGGCCCAAGCGACUGUUUACCAAAAACACAGGUUUCUGCUAAAGCGUAAGCUGAUGUAUAGGGGCUGACGCCUGCCCGGUGCUGGAAGGUUAAGGGGAACACUUAGCGCAAGCGAAGGUGUGAACUUAAGCCCCAGUAAACGGCGGCCGUAACUAUAACGGUCCUAAGG
This 1948-nucleotide ribosomal RNA is filed under the name Turicibacter sanguinis. RNAcentral describes it as "partial 23S ribosomal RNA". It matches the Rfam family "Bacterial large subunit ribosomal RNA", at positions 1 to 1956 of the family's 2925-position model. Lineage: Bacteria; Bacillati; Bacillota; Erysipelotrichia; Erysipelotrichales; Turicibacteraceae. The record is from RNAcentral.